AAAUUAUCAAGAGUAAGGGUAGAGAACUGGCUCUGAUACCCUUUACCAACCUGUCUUGAGCAUAGUCGAAAGAUAAGGUGGUCCUUCCAGCUUCCUCUCAUUGAGGAGGAGAUAAUUG
This 118-nucleotide non-coding RNA is filed under the name Candidatus Parcubacteria bacterium. RNAcentral's name for it is "Parcubacteria bacterium SAM-I sequence". It matches the Rfam family "SAM riboswitch aptamer (S box leader)". From Rfam's summary of the family: The SAM riboswitch is found upstream of a number of genes which code for proteins involved in methionine or cysteine biosynthesis in Gram-positive bacteria. The SAM riboswitch acts at the level of transcription termination control. The predicted structure consists of a complex stem-loop region followed by a single stem loop terminator region. The record is from RNAcentral. Lineage: Bacteria; Candidatus Parcubacteria.